Molecule: long non-coding RNA, 3807 nt
Filed under: Heterocephalus glaber (naked mole-rat)
Lineage: Eukaryota; Metazoa; Chordata; Mammalia; Rodentia; Bathyergidae
Description: lncRNA (ENSHGLG00000043986.1)
Source: RNAcentral
CCCGAGCCCCGCAGCCGGGCUUCCGCGUGCGGGCAGCGCCCCCUGCCCCGUCCGGAGCUCUCCGCCGCAGUGAUGGCGGCGACGGGGGCGGCGCAGCCGAGUCACCUGUGGGGCUUCUCACAACUCCACAGCCCCCUCCCCAAACCCUAGGUCACUCGUCCAGAGGAAGAAAAGAAGCAAUCUCAGCAGAUGCAGGGCCCGGCGCGCCGGUGGUGGAGUUUCCAAAAGCCCUACAGGUGAUGCCACCCCGACGCCCCGCGACGCUGGCCCUGGGUAGUCUCGACCCUCUCCGGCUCCGCAGCUUCCCCCGACCCCGCGGGACGGCCGGGGCUUCGGCGGCGAGACUUGGGAAAGUGUCCCCUGCUCUGCGCACCUCCCUCGCUGCGCGGACCGCGCGCUGGAUGCCAGAGCCACGGAGACCCCUCCAGCCCCACUGAUAUGGGAUGUAGACAGAGGCAUUGGCCAAAGCCUGGAGAGACGCACACCCAGAGUCAGAGGGGAAAGAAGCAGAGUGAAGAACCUUUCUGAGAAGCCUGCUCAUCUGUAUGCUCCGAGAGCAGUGGAAGCCACAGCACAGGAAGCUUCAUUGGGAAGGGCCUUGUGAAUCAGUCCAGGCUCAUGGGCACAACUAGCCAUUUGAGAUAGAACUGGGAACAGGAGGCCCACUGUCUCAGAGGAUUGCAUCAAGAACUGUGCCCCCGAGCAGCUGAAGACUGCAGGGUCUUGGAGCUGCAGGGACAGGAGGGAAGGAGCCAAUACUCCACCAGGCAUCCACUCUUUUCACAUACUAUCUUUUCAUGAAUCUCUGCAGUCGUGAUAGAAAGUACCCCCAAAAUGUCUCCAUCUGAAAGUAGAGGAAACUGAGGCUGAGAGGCAUAAAAGUGACUGGCCUAACACAUCAGUGAAUAAAUGGCCUGAAAGAUCUUUAACACUAGUCUGCUCUAAUUCUGCAUGAUGACUCUUCCUUUAUGUCAUGCAGUCAAGCCUUGCCACCAGCCAGAAUUUCUGAGAUGCAUCACUGGUUUAUAAAGCGGUGUCAAAUGGUAUGAGCAUGGAGGGGAUGACAUGUGUGCAGUGGGUCACAGCACUUCUCUUUCUUCAGACUCGAAGUCCAAGUUUUGUCAGAAAAUUCUCAUGGAAAGACAGACAGAUACCAGGCUGACCUAGCAUCCACUCAUUCUCUCCCUCUCUCUCUCUCUCUCUCUCUCUCUCUCUCUCUCUCUCUCUCUCAGUUUGGAAAAAGGAUUUGUAGGUCAUUUAGUCCAAAUUUCUAAUUCCUGAAUUAAAGUUGCAGUAUCUAAAGUAAAUAGCUUUCUAGCCUGUGCUUGGAGAUUUAUAGACUGUAAGGACUUUUACAAAGGGAGAAAUUAUUACCAGAGAUAAUGAAAUGAGGUGUGACCCUGACAAUGCAUAGGCUCACAGUGUAGGCAUCUGGAACUCUGUAGUGGCCGUGGUCAGCAUGGACAUGGUGCGGUGUUGGUAACAGUAAUGACAGUAGUAGUAGCAGUGAUGAUGGUUGUGCUGGAGGUCAGGGUGGUGAUGGAAAUGACUGUGACAGCAGUAAUGGGGUGGUGUGAGUCUUGAUGGUAGUAGCACCAGAGGUGGUAGAAGUUGGAGUGAUCCUGGAAGGAAAGCCCCAAGCAGAGGGUAAGUUCUUCCUGGGACAUCAACUAGUUGCCCAUACUGCCUGUAUUAAUCAUGCUUCUCUAGAGGAACAGAACCAAUAGAAAAUAUAUGCAUCAUGAUGCAAAGGGGUUAUUAGGUAGCUUACAGGGUCAGAGGUGGAGAAUCCACUGUGGCCAUCUCUGCACGCUGGAGAGCCAGGGCAUCCGGGAGCUGCUCAGCCCAUGAAGAUGGAGGCUGCAGAACAACAGGGAUCAAGGAUGAGGUGCAGUCCAAGCUCAGAGGCCCGGAAAGUCACUGGAGGGUUGCUGGUGCUAAUCUACAUCAGAAGGCUAAGGAAGAAACUGGAGACUUGGAGGCUGAUGUGCAAAGGAUUGGCCCUUCCAGGAAGACUGGGCCUCUUCAGAACUGGGACACUUCUUUAUUCUUUCCCUGCAAGCCUAUUGGUAGGUAGCGCCUACAUAGGAGGUGGGUCUCCCCUACCCAGUUUGCUGGCCUACAUGUCAAUCACCUUCAGAAACAGCCAGACCUGCACUUUACUAAUCUGGUAAGUGCUUCUUAAUUCAUUCAAAUAGACACAGUAUGAUUAAUAGUCACGCUGUCCCAGGGUAGCUCAUCCCUGUGAGGAGAAUGGAUAACUCCAUAGCAUUCUCCUGGCCUGUCCAGGUCAGGGAGCUGCUAGGCUGAAAUCUUGCCUGACACAGCCAAUGUCCUCCAUUCCAAGGUGGCCGGAACCCAGGGCCCUGAGGCCUGGCAGACUUUUCUAAGCUUUUGUAGAAAUGUUUAUGAUGGAAACAUAUUCAGGUCCACAGGCUGGGACAAGCCUACACACACACACACACACACACUCACACACACACACGCACAGAGUUUCUGCAGAAGCUGGUGGAGAGAGGAUGAGUGUGGCUAAGUGUGUGCCACAUGUCCAUCUCCGCCAUUCUGAUCCAGGUGGUUGCGCAAUGCUGGCAGCUUUGUCACUGACUCAGUCACUGAGACACCAGCAGCGAAAGCAACCAGUAUGCUGUUUGCCUCUCUGGAAUGCAAGCAUGCCAAAUGAAGAGUCACACAAUAUGGCCUCCUUGCAGCAAUGGAUGGCCUGCCCCCAGCUGGUGCCAGGUUUGCUUUCUGUUUAGUUCCAGUGCCCUCUCACUUGUCAGGAAUGACAUUUGGGAGACUUGACGGAGGAAACUCCAUUCUGUGAUAGAUAGGAACUGGUGACCCUGUGGCUAUGGGCAACGCUGGCUUAGUGUAGGCAUAGCCCAGAAUGACUCCUGCUAUUUACCAUACAAGAAAUCAAUGUAAAACAAUGACCCUUCCCCACAAGAGCAUAUGUGUUUCAUACUCCAAGCACCCCUCGAUCUGUCACCCCAAAUACGUUCAGCAGUAUUACCCAAAUCAUGGACUCACUAAAGUGCCUGCCUUCAAUAGGGUCCCUUAUUUCCUCCUGUACAGGAGUAAUAAUUUCAAGGGCAAGAAGAGAAAGUGCAUAUGAUGUCCUUCCUCUGUUGGUGCCUGGCCUGGGGAGAUUCUUAGAAAAUGUGUGCUCAAUGAAGGACAUGAUGACCGGGUGAUGUAGAUGUGGAAGCAUUUCUGUUUUUGCAAGGUCACAUUAACUUCUGUGCAGGGAAAGAGUCAGCUCGAAAGCUUUGAUGGCCUCUGGGAACAGAGAGCUCUACCCAGACCACACAUGGAAAGCUUCCAAAGGUGAAGGCCACGAGGACAGUCGCAGUGUCCUUGGCUGCAUAAAUGUGCACGACAACUGCAUGUGUUGGUACCUGGCAGUUCUUCGGAGACUAACUGUAAGGUCUUCUUUUAUAGCCUGGUUGCCUUUAUGAAGACAAGGGUCUGCCAGUGGCAGUGACAACCCUUGGAAUUUCUGGACAGUGAUUCAGAGAUUAGUCAUAUAUAGCACCCAGUCAUUUGUAGGUACAAAGCUUAGGCUCAGUGUGUACUUGCCAACAAUGUCCCUGUCACCCUGCUUGGCACCCAGCCCAUAUAUAACGAGAGGCUCUCAAAUUCCAACCGACUAUGGAAGCAGAGCCAGUGUUAAGGAAAUCGCCAUUUUACUUGUUAAAAUAAUACCCGGAUUCUGUAGCAGAUUCUUUCUAACAGAUUUUAUUCAGGCAUCCACCCAUUGCCAAGUUGGGGCAUUCUGCUGGCAUCUGUUGUGGAUCUAGGUGUGGG